This 481-nucleotide ribosomal RNA is filed under the name uncultured bacterium. Its description in RNAcentral is "partial 16S ribosomal RNA". It matches the Rfam family "Bacterial small subunit ribosomal RNA", at positions 29 to 506 of the family's 1533-position model. The record is from RNAcentral.
AUUGAACGCUGGCGGCAUGCUUUACACAUGCAAGUCGAACGGUAACAGGCCGCAAGGUGCUGACGAGUGGCGAACGGGUGAGUAAUGCAUCGGAACGUGCCCAGUCGUGGGGGAUAACUACUCGAAAGAGUAGCUAAUACCGCAUACGAUCUAUGGAUGAAAGCGGGGGACCGUAAGGCCUCGCGCGAUUGGAGCGGCCGAUGUCAGAUUAGGUGGUUAGUGGGGUAAAGGCUCACCAAGCCAACGAUCUGUAGCUGGUCUGAGAGGACGACCAGCCACACGGGAACUGACACAGGGCCAAAACCCCUAGGGGGGGAGGAGGGGGGAAAUUUUGGAAAGGGGGGGAAGGCCUAACCCGGAAAGGCGGGGGGGAGAAAAAAGGCCUGCGGGUUGAAAACUGGUUUUGUAGGGAAGGAAAAGGCUCUGGUUAAUACCCGGGGGAAAGGACGGAACGGAAAAAAAAAGCACCGGCUAACAACGG